RNAcentral lists this ribosomal RNA (497 nucleotides) under uncultured bacterium. Its description in RNAcentral is "partial 16S ribosomal RNA". It matches the Rfam family "Bacterial small subunit ribosomal RNA", at positions 28 to 507 of the family's 1533-position model. The record is from RNAcentral.
GAUGAACGCUGGCGGCGUGCCUAAUACAUGCCAGUCGAGCGAACAGACGAGGAGCUUGCUCCUCUGACGUUAGCGGCGGACGGGUGAGUAACACGUGGAUAACCUACCUAUAAGACUGGGAUAACUUCGGGAAACCGGAGCUAAUACCGGAUAAUAUAUUGAACCGCAUGGUUCAAUAGUGAAAGACGGUUUUGCUGUCACUUAUAGAUGGAUCCGCGCCGCAUUAGCUAGUUGGUAAGGUAACGGCUUACCAAGGCAACGAUGCGUAGCCGACCUGAGAGGGUGAUCGGCCACACUUGAACUGAGACACGGUCCAGACUCCUACGGGAGGCAGCAGUAGGGAAUCUUCCGCAAUGGGCGAAAGCCUGACGGAGCAACGCCGCGUGAGUGAUGAAGGUCUUCGGAUCGUAAAACUCUGUUAUUAGGGAAGAACAAAUGUGUAAGUAACUAUGCACGUCUUGACGGUACCUAAUCAGAAAGCCACGGCUAACUACGUG